This 299-nucleotide ribosomal RNA is filed under the name uncultured bacterium. Its description in RNAcentral is "partial 16S ribosomal RNA". It matches the Rfam family "Bacterial small subunit ribosomal RNA", at positions 789 to 1084 of the family's 1533-position model. The record is from RNAcentral.
GGUAGUCCACGCCGUAAACGAUGAACACUAGUUGUUGCGGGUAUUGACCCCUGCAGUGACGACGCCAACGCAUUAAGUGUUCCGCCUGGGGAGUACGGCCGCAAGGCUAAAACUCAAAGGAAUUGACGGGGCCCGCACAAGCGGUGGAGUAUGUGGUUUAAUUCGACGCAACGCGCAGAACCUUACCCGGUCUUGACAUCGAAGGAAUCCUUUGGAGACAGAGGAGUAUCUAGCAAUAGAACCUGAAGACAGGUGCUGCAUGGCUGUCGUCAGCUCGUGUCGUGAGAUGUUGGGUUAAG